RNAcentral lists this ribosomal RNA (22 nucleotides) under Cetrelia japonica. RNAcentral describes it as "partial 18S ribosomal RNA". Lineage: Eukaryota; Fungi; Ascomycota; Lecanoromycetes; Lecanorales; Parmeliaceae. The record is from RNAcentral.
GACCUGCGGAAGGAUCAUUACC